Non-coding RNA from Cinara cedri, 695 nucleotides. The record is from the annotation of a GenBank genome assembly. NCBI's taxonomy places the organism in Eukaryota, Metazoa, Arthropoda, Insecta, Hemiptera, Aphididae.
AAUUGUACACAGUUGAUAAAAUAUUACCGUCAUAAAUAAGCCGCACAAACUGCAGUUUACCAUCAUGUAGGUGUAUGAUAUUACUAAAACAAUAUUAUAUUAAUCGCCGUUUUGCGUACAAGCGUGCGGUGUUAACCGUUUUUGGAGCGUUACCAACAUCGGAAACCGUUUUAUUGAAUUCGAUUGUUGGGCGAUAUAAAAUAAAUAAACGGUUUUCAGCAUAACAACGCGUUUAAUUUUAGACUGCUCGAACAGCACGCGUAAUAAUGCGCCGCGGAGGUCCAAGAAUCUCGCCGAAAGACGCCCGCCGCAGAGUUCACGCGCUUUUAUAUUAAUGUAACGUCCGUUGCUGUGUCGACGAGCGUUUUUUCAAUCGAGUUAAUUCGUUGUUUUUUUUUUUCUAAACCCGGAACGUAGCGAGCAGUGGGCACACGCAUGAUUUUUUUCAGGGAAAGUCGUGUGUACAAUAAUUGUCUACAGAGAGGAUACCCCGAUAUAUUAUCACUGCAAUACUAUAUCAUCACCAUUAUUACUGAACAAUGAAUGACACUGAAAUAAAUUGCAUUAUUCUAUUCUGUGGUAUACGGUAAUAUUACGCUGCUGAAUGAAUACCUUGAUUUAAAACAAAUGUGUGAAGAAAGACGUUUUGGGGGAAGAGGGUGGUCUGACCCCGUAACCUACCAUCCCCCACCUCU